GGGGGAAUUUUGGACAAUGGGGGCAACCCUGAUCCAGCCAUCCCGCGUGUGCGACGAAGGCCUUCGGGUUGUAAAGCACUUUUGGCAGGAAAGAAAUUGCCUGGGUUAACACCCUGGGUAGAUGACGGUACCUGCAGAAUAAGCACCGGCUAACUACGUGCCAGCUGCCGCGGUAAUACGUAGGGUGCAAGCGUUAAUCGGAAUUACUGGGCGUAAAGCGUGCGCAGGCGGUUCGGAAAGAAAGAUGUGA
This 250-nucleotide ribosomal RNA is filed under the name uncultured bacterium. RNAcentral describes it as "partial 16S ribosomal RNA". It matches the Rfam family "Bacterial small subunit ribosomal RNA", at positions 355 to 597 of the family's 1533-position model. The record is from RNAcentral.